CCGCGCCAACGAGCGGAGACCAGUUGAGCGCGAGACUCCGAGCCGAACGGUUGUACGCACGGACGCAGCCCGGUGACUAAAUCUACGAUACGAUUUCGUACCAAGCAUUUCGUAACAUAGUUUUUGCCCUUAAUCGGAAGUAUUCACUGUCAUAUUUCGCUAUUGCCUACUCUCUGAAAUAGUCGGAUAUAUUAAUACAAUUAUUUCGAACUUGUGACAAGUGACACGUAAUCGCGUAUGUGGUGAUCGAUUGUCAUCGAGUCUAAACAGUGACUCUGUGGAUUUCUCAAGUUGGCGUUUUGACGUUUCUCCGAGGGAAUUCGAGUGGCAGAAAGCAUCGUGUCAUCCGGUACCCACCGGUGAUGCAUCACUGUCGCAUCGAGCGUGUAGAAGAAACGACUGGCAAAUCGACUCACCAAUCGCCGACUAUAAUGCCCGCGUAACGAGCAAUCGACAAUCGAGAAAGCCAGAGUGAACGGAAGCUCGAGUAGGG
Long non-coding RNA from Bombus impatiens (common eastern bumble bee), 493 nucleotides. RefSeq lists it as uncharacterized. NCBI's taxonomy places the organism in Eukaryota, Metazoa, Arthropoda, Insecta, Hymenoptera, Apidae. The record is from RefSeq and is a predicted model, not a curated record. The transcript has 2 exons.